UUGACAACCAUUACAAUUGACAUCAUACAUUGGAGAAAGUAGAUAUGGCCUAGGUAGUCUUCUUCACUUAAGAUGUAGUUGUAAGAAAAUUAACUAUGUUCCCACAGGAAAACGACAUUCAAAAAACAUUUGGGAUGUAAACUCAAAAUUAGGUGCAGCAAUGAUAUUCUGUGGUAUUGGUGAAAGUGUAGUCAAUAAUUUAUUGGCUGCAUUGAACCUCCCGAACAUAUCCCCCACCACCCUAAAAAGGAGGGAACGAGAGGCAGGUUCUGCAUUUGAAGCAGUUGCUACUGAGACGUGUAGUGAUGCAAUUGCAGCUGAAAGUAGAAGUUGUCAAAGUGAAGAAGACCAGGCGGUUUCCUUUGAUGCUGGCUGGCA
This is a long non-coding RNA of Saccostrea cuccullata (small rock oyster), 378 nucleotides long. RefSeq lists it as uncharacterized. NCBI's taxonomy places the organism in Eukaryota, Metazoa, Mollusca, Bivalvia, Ostreida, Ostreidae. The record is from RefSeq and is a predicted model, not a curated record. The transcript is spliced from 4 exons.